This 2929-nucleotide ribosomal RNA is filed under the name Escherichia coli. RNAcentral's name for it is "23S ribosomal RNA". It matches the Rfam family "Bacterial large subunit ribosomal RNA". The record is from RNAcentral. Lineage: Bacteria; Pseudomonadati; Pseudomonadota; Gammaproteobacteria; Enterobacterales; Enterobacteriaceae.
GGGUUGUGAGGUUAAGCGACUAAGCGUACACGGUGGAUGCCCUGGCAGUCAGAGGCGAUGAAGGACGUGCUAAUCUGCGAUAAGCGUCGGUAAGGUGAUAUGAACCGUUAUAACCGGCGAUUUCCGAAUGGGGAAACCCAGUGUGUUUCGACACACUAUCAUUAACUGAAUCCAUAGGUUAAUGAGGCGAACCGGGGGAACUGAAACAUCUAAGUACCCCGAGGAAAAGAAAUCAACCGAGAUUCCCCCAGUAGCGGCGAGCGAACGGGGAGCAGCCCAGAGCCUGAAUCAGUGUGUGUGUUAGUGGAAGCGUCUGGAAAGGCGCGCGAUACAGGGUGACAGCCCCGUACACAAAAAUGCACAUGCUGUGAGCUCGAUGAGUAGGGCGGGACACGUGGUAUCCUGUCUGAAUAUGGGGGGACCAUCCUCCAAGGCUAAAUACUCCUGACUGACCGAUAGUGAACCAGUACCGUGAGGGAAAGGCGAAAAGAACCCCGGCGAGGGGAGUGAAAAAGAACCUGAAACCGUGUACGUACAAGCAGUGGGAGCACGCUUAGGCGUGUGACUGCGUACCUUUUGUAUAAUGGGUCAGCGACUUAUAUUCUGUAGCAAGGUUAACCGAAUAGGGGAGCCGAAGGGAAACCGAGUCUUAACUGGGCGUUAAGUUGCAGGGUAUAGACCCGAAACCCGGUGAUCUAGCCAUGGGCAGGUUGAAGGUUGGGUAACACUAACUGGAGGACCGAACCGACUAAUGUUGAAAAAUUAGCGGAUGACUUGUGGCUGGGGGUGAAAGGCCAAUCAAACCGGGAGAUAGCUGGUUCUCCCCGAAAGCUAUUUAGGUAGCGCCUCGUGAAUUCAUCUCCGGGGGUAGAGCACUGUUUCGGCAAGGGGGUCAUCCCGACUUACCAACCCGAUGCAAACUGCGAAUACCGGAGAAUGUUAUCACGGGAGACACACGGCGGGUGCUAACGUCCGUCGUGAAGAGGGAAACAACCCAGACCGCCAGCUAAGGUCCCAAAGUCAUGGUUAAGUGGGAAACGAUGUGGGAAGGCCCAGACAGCCAGGAUGUUGGCUUAGAAGCAGCCAUCAUUUAAAGAAAGCGUAAUAGCUCACUGGUCGAGUCGGCCUGCGCGGAAGAUGUAACGGGGCUAAACCAUGCACCGAAGCUGCGGCAGCGACACUAUGUGUUGUUGGGUAGGGGAGCGUUCUGUAAGCCUGUGAAGGUGUACUGUGAGGUAUGCUGGAGGUAUCAGAAGUGCGAAUGCUGACAUAAGUAACGAUAAAGCGGGUGAAAAGCCCGCUCGCCGGAAGACCAAGGGUUCCUGUCCAACGUUAAUCGGGGCAGGGUGAGUCGACCCCUAAGGCGAGGCCGAAAGGCGUAGUCGAUGGGAAACAGGUUAAUAUUCCUGUACUUGGUGUUACUGCGAAGGGGGGACGGAGAAGGCUAUGUUGGCCGGGCGACGGUUGUCCCGGUUUAAGCGUGUAGGCUGGUUUUCCAGGCAAAUCCGGAAAACUAAGGCUGAGGCGUGAUGACGAGGCACUACGGUGCUGAAGCAACAAAUGCCCUGCUUCCAGGAAAAGCCUCUAAGCAUCAGGUAACAUCAAAUCGUACCCCAAACCGACACAGGUGGUCAGGUAGAGAAUACCAAGGCGCUUGAGAGAACUCGGGUGAAGGAACUAGGCAAAAUGGUGCCGUAACUUCGGGAGAAGGCACGCUGAUAUGUAGGUGAAGUCCCUCGCGGAUGGAGCUGAAAUCAGUCGAAGAUACCAGCUGGCUGCAACUGUUUAUUAAAAACACAGCACUGUGCAAACACGAAAGUGGACGUAUACGGUGUGACGCCUGCCCGGUGCCGGAAGGUUAAUUGAUGGGGUUAGCGCAAGCGAAGCUCUUGAUCGAAGCCCCGGUAAACGGCGGCCGUAACUAUAACGGUCCUAAGGUAGCGAAAUUCCUUGUCGGGUAAGUUCCGACCUGCACGAAUGGCGUAAUGAUGGCCAGGCUGUCUCCACCCGAGACUCAGUGAAAUUGAACUCGCUGUGAAGAUGCAGUGUACCCGCGGCAAGACGGAAAGACCCCGUGAACCUUUACUAUAGCUUGACACUGAACAUUGAGCCUUGAUGUGUAGGAUAGGUGGGAGGCUUGGAAGUGUGGACGCCAGUCUGCAUGGAGCCGACCUUGAAAUACCACCCUUUAAUGUUUGAUGUUCUAACGUUGACCCGUAAUCCGGGUUGCGGACAGUGUCUGGUGGGUAGUUUGACUGGGGCGGUCUCCUCCUAAAGAGUAACGGAGGAGCACGAAGGUUGGCUAAUCCUGGUCGGACAUCAGGAGGUUAGUGCAAUGGCAUAAGCCAGCUUGACUGCGAGCGUGACGGCGCGAGCAGGUGCGAAAGCAGGUCAUAGUGAUCCGGUGGUUCUGAAUGGAAGGGCCAUCGCUCAACGGAUAAAAGGUACUCCGGGGAUAACAGGCUGAUACCGCCCAAGAGUUCAUAUCGACGGCGGUGUUUGGCACCUCGAUGUCGGCUCAUCACAUCCUGGGGCUGAAGUAGGUCCCAAGGGUAUGGCUGUUCGCCAUUUAAAGUGGUACGCGAGCUGGGUUUAGAACGUCGUGAGACAGUUCGGUCCCUAUCUGCCGUGGGCGCUGGAGAACUGAGGGGGGCUGCUCCUAGUACGAGAGGACCGGAGUGGACGCAUCACUGGUGUUCGGGUUGUCAUGCCAAUGGCACUGCCCGGUAGCUAAAUGCGGAAGAGAUAAGUGCUGAAAGCAUCUAAGCACGAAACUUGCCCCGAGAUGAGUUCUCCCUGACUCCUUGAGAGUCCUGAAGGAACGUUGAAGACGACGACGUUGAUAGGCCGGGUGUGUAAGCGCAGCGAUGCGUUGAGCUAACCGGUACUAAUGAACCGUGAGGCUUAACCUUACAACGCCGAAGCUGUU